Molecule: ribosomal RNA, 253 nt
Filed under: uncultured bacterium
Lineage: Bacteria
Description: partial 16S ribosomal RNA
Rfam family: Bacterial small subunit ribosomal RNA
Source: RNAcentral
UACGUAGGGUGCGAGCGUUGCCCGGAUUUAUUGGGCGUAAAGGGCGCGUAGGCGGCUCGGCACGUCCGUUGUGAAAUCGCCCGGCUCAACUGGGCGGGGUCAGCGGAUACGGUCGAGCUUGAGCAAGCUAGGGGGCAAUGGAAUUCCCGGUGUAGUGGUGGAAUGCGUAGAUAUCGGGAGGAACACCAGUGGCGAAGGCGGCUUACUGGUCCAUAACUGACGCUGAGGUGCGAAAGCGUGGGGAGCAAACAGG